CAGCAUCAUAAAUCCCCUGCAUGUUAAUGGGUUGAUGUGCAAUGAGAUAGAUGAACAGCAAUGCUGAACAGUGCAUGAUACAGCCAGCACAGUUAAAUGACACAAAGAAAUAAAUAACACUAUUUAUUUAGCUUCUAUUUCUACUCAGGGAAGAUUCAAAGUGAGCAAUCAAACCCUGGUUGGAUGUGUCAUUUAGCCCUUUGAGUGUGGUGUAUGUGAUAAUGCGUAGCAUAGCUCAGGGCAGACAUUGUAGGCAUCAGCUCUAGCCAAAGGCCAGGUUUAAUGAAGUGGACUGAAAUAUGUUCCCACCUGAAUGGUGCUUUGGCUGUGCAGUUCACAUGCACAGUUUGUCCACAUGCACCUAUUCAUCCCCCAGCGAUUGUAGCCCAGCUUCUUUUAGGUUUUAGAUUUUAGAUAUGUUAAGUUUAAGUCUACCUUCCUUUUUUUACGUGAACUUGCCUCACUGUUUAAAUAAUGUCUGCCUCUGACUCAUCAAUUGUUUACUUAUAUUCCUCAGGGCCCGAAAGGACCAAGAGGUGAAAGGGGACCCCAGGGCCCUGACGGGAGGGACGGCAGACCUGGCAACCCCGGCCCUGCUGGGCCCCCAGGACCCCCUGGCCUCGGCGGAAACUUUGCUGCUCAGUAUGAUCACAACAAAGGCGCUGAUAUUGGUCCCGGCCCCAUGGUGAACACACACACACACACACACACACACACACACACACACACACACACACACACACACACACACACACACACACACACACACACACACACACACACACACACACACACACACACACACAAACUCAGACACACACACACACACACACACACACACACACACACACACACACACACACACACACAUGCACAAACUCUGAGACACACACACCUGCAGUUUUGUGGUAACUCUCCAACAAUAACACUAUGUAUUCACACAUACACAUCACCACACAGAACUACCAAUAAGAACCCAUCGAAGUCUGAAGACCUUUCCA
Long non-coding RNA from Gadus chalcogrammus (walleye pollock), 1001 nucleotides. RefSeq lists it as uncharacterized. The record is from RefSeq and is a predicted model, not a curated record. The transcript has 3 exons. Lineage: Eukaryota; Metazoa; Chordata; Actinopteri; Gadiformes; Gadidae.